Molecule: ribosomal RNA, 253 nt
Filed under: uncultured bacterium
Lineage: Bacteria
Description: partial 16S ribosomal RNA
Rfam family: Bacterial small subunit ribosomal RNA
Source: RNAcentral
UACAGAGGUCUCAAGCGUUGUUCGGAUUCAUUGGGCGUAAAGGGUGUGUAGGUGGCGCCGUAAGUCGGGUGUGAAAUCUCGGAGCUUAACUCCGAAACUGCAUUUGAUACUGCGGUGCUUGAGGACUGGAGAGGAGACUGGAAUUUACGGUGUAGCAGUGAAAUGCGUAGAGAUCGUAAGGAAGACCAGUGGCGAAGGCGGGUCUCUGGACAGUUCCUGACACUGAGGCACGAAGGCCAGGGGAGCAAACGGG